This is a long non-coding RNA of Eucalyptus grandis, 440 nucleotides long. RefSeq lists it as uncharacterized. The record is from RefSeq and is a predicted model, not a curated record. Lineage: Eukaryota; Viridiplantae; Streptophyta; Magnoliopsida; Myrtales; Myrtaceae. The transcript is spliced from 2 exons.
ACAAUGACAUAAAGUCAAAUUUUUUUUUAUCUUACGUUACAAUUUUGCGAAGGUUACAUGUUUGGAUCUUAUGGUGCACUGGGAUUGAAAGUAUGGAGCGAACCAUUUACGUCUGGCCACGGUAGAUUUUCAUGGCUUUUCUUCACAAGGGACAUCAGGCCUAGUCAUACCCCAACAAGAAGUCCUCUUGAAGAACUUGGGACGAUCAACUGGUCCGACUCACGGUUUACAUGGUAAAUUCCGACCGUAGAGCCAGUUGCAAAAGAAAAAAAAGUUGGUGCCAUCGCAAAUGAGAACGGGGUAACAUAAAACGAUGAUUACAAAAACAACGGGAAUUUUCCGGGAAUUCCUGCUAAAAUGGCAAAGAGUAUCCUCUGACAGCAUUUGAUUUAUAGUGGUGUAAACAGCUUCUGUCUUUAUAUUCAUCAUUUCCCAGGCGA